GAGCUACGUUAGUCAGGGUGAUGUGCAAAACACGGAUCCCUUGGCUUUUGAACGCAAAUUGCGGCUAAGAGUGUCAAAGCCUUAGCCUUACCUGAGUGAGGGUCGUUGUAGAAGUUUACACUACUCAUGGUGCGAUCAUCUGUCUCUCUAAGAGAAGGAUGGAGCGCUGUAGUUUCGGGACUGCUGUAGUCGCCGACUGUUAAAAAGACAGUCUGACUCGUUUGCAGUGUCGAUCUCUCUCUGAGGGAAACUCCAACUAAACUCGACCUCACUUCAGGUAAGAGCACCCCCUGAACUUAA
Molecule: unclassified non-coding RNA, 300 nt
Filed under: uncultured fungus
Lineage: Eukaryota; Fungi
Description: sequence contains ITS1
Rfam family: 5.8S ribosomal RNA (bases 1-105)
Source: RNAcentral